RNAcentral lists this ribosomal RNA (295 nucleotides) under uncultured bacterium. Its description in RNAcentral is "partial 16S ribosomal RNA". It matches the Rfam family "Bacterial small subunit ribosomal RNA", at positions 775 to 1067 of the family's 1533-position model. The record is from RNAcentral.
GGAUUAGAUACCCUGGUAGUCCACGCCGUAAACGAUGUGUGCUAGUUGUCAGGCCCAAAGGGUUUGGUGACGGAGAGAAAUCAUUAAGCACACCGCCUGGGGAGUACGGCCGCAAGGUUAAAACUCAAAGGAAUUGACGGGGACCCGCACAAGCGGUGGAGCAUGUUGUUUAAUUCGAAGCAACGCGAAGAACCUUACCAACCCUUAACUAUCCUCUUGGGACUUUCAGAGAUGAUUGUCUUCGGUUCGGCCGGGGAGUGAAUAGGUGCUGCAUGGCUGUCGUCAGCUCGUGCCG